Molecule: ribosomal RNA, 301 nt
Filed under: uncultured bacterium
Lineage: Bacteria
Description: partial 16S ribosomal RNA
Rfam family: Bacterial small subunit ribosomal RNA
Source: RNAcentral
CAGCGCCGCGGUAAUACGAAGGGUGCAAGCGUUACUCGGAAUUACUGGGCGUAAAGCGUGUGUAGGUGGUUGUUUAAGUCUGUCGUGAAAGCCAUGGGCUCAACCUGGGAAUUGCGAUGGAUACUGGGCGACCAGAGUGCGGUAGAGGAUAGUGGAAUUUCCGGUGUAGCAGUGAAAUGCGUAGAGAUCGGAAGGAACAUCUGUGGCGAAGGCGACUAUCUGGGCCAACACUGACACUGAGACACGAAAGCGUGGGGAGCAAACAGGAUUAGAUACCCGCGUAGUCCCUGUCUCUUAUACA